CUUUGUUCCUCCUGCUAACUGAAAGGUGGAUGUGAUGGCUGGAACUCAAGAAGCCAUCUUACAUCAUCAGGUUCUAACAGCAUGUUGACCAUGAUGGAACAAUAAGACAAAAGGAGCCUGCUUUUAUGAUGGCCAUUGUGAUAGGAAAUUUUACCUGUGAAUUUGACCAGGCCAUGGAGUGCCCAAAUAUUUGGGCAAACAUUAUUUCUGGGUGUGUCUGUGACAGUGUUUCCAGAUGAGAUUAGCAUUUGAAUUGAUGGAUUCAGUAAAGCAGCUUACCCUCCCAAAUAUGGAUGGGUAUCCCAAUCUGUUGAGGGCCUGAAUAGAACAAAAGGUAGAAGAAGAGAGAAUCUGAUCUCUCCGCCUGGCUGCAAGAGCUGGAACAUCGUCUUCCCUUGCAUUCAGACUUCAACUGGGACUUACCCUGGUUCUCAUGUCCUUGGGCUCCAGCUAAGACCAUCUCAUUGGCUUUCCUACACCUCCAGCUUGCAGACAGCAGAUCAUGGGACUUCUCAGCCAAUUCUCUCUCUCUCUCUUAUUCUGUUUCUCUAGAGAACCCUGACUAAUACAGAUUUUCGUACUUGAGAAUGGUCUAAAAGAUAGGACCACUGCCUCAGUGGGUCUGGAAGGCAGAGCAUCAAGCCAAAGAGGAUUAUUCUCAGGACUUUAAGAUCUCAUGGAGUUUCCCCUGCUAAGUUUUGGACUUACUUGGGACCCAUCAUUUCUUCUUCCUCUCCUAUUUCUCUCGGAAUGAGAAUGUCUAUCCUAUGCCUGUCUCACCAUUGUAUUUUGGAAACAUGUAACUUGUUUGGUUUCACACGUUCACAGCUGGAGAGGAAUUUUGCCACAGGAUGAGUUGUACCUCAAGUCUCAUCCAUAACUGAUUUAGAUGAUAUUUAGAUGAGACCUUGGUUUAGACUUUAGAGUUGAUGCUGGAAUGAGCUAAGAUUUUGGGGGCUGUUGGGAUGGAAUGAAUGUAUUUUUCGUGUAAGAAGGGCAUGAAUUUGGGGGAGCCAAAGGCAGAGUGCUAUGGACUGAAUGUUUGCAUCCUCCCUGAAUUCACAUUUUGAAACCCUAACUCCAAUGCCUUGGUAUUUGGCGGCGGGGCCUUUGGGAGGUAAUGAGGUUAUGAGGAUAGAGCCCUCAUGAAUGGGAUUAGUGAUCUAGUCACAGGAGACCGAGAGAGAUGGUCGCUCUCUGUGCCAUGUGAGAACACAGCUGAAAGACGGCCAUUCUGCAGACUAGGGAGAGGGCCUUCACCAGACACUGAAUUGGACCCUGAUCUUGGACUUUCUAGCCUCCAGAACUGUGAGAAACAAAUUUUUAUUGUUUAAACCACUCAGCCUAUGGUAUUCUGUUAUAGUAGCUCAAGCUGACUAGGGCAGUAAUGAAGCACCAUGCUGGCCCUGAACUGCUGAACUCUGGAUUUCACGUACAUACGACAAAGAAUAAACUUCUAUCUGACUCAAAUCCUGGUCAUUUUGAGUUUUCUGUCAUUUGCAGCCAAACUUUAGUAAUACUGGUAGUGACAGAUCGGCCUCUCCCACAGGGGCAUCUCCAGAUCUACUGGCAGAAAGAAGGCCAAAUAUGUCCUCUGCAGACAGAUCACUAGUAGAACCACUCAAAAGGGGCUGAGCCACCAGUAUCCUGUUCCUUCUUCCAAACAUCAGUUGGGUUAGUCAUCUAUCACAGGAGAGAAAUGACUGGAGGCGCCAAGAGAGACCAGGAAUGUGAACUAAGGAGGCCCCUCCACAUGGAAAUAUGAGACUUGGAGAAGAGAGGUUCUCCUGAACCUGGGAAAUGAAUGCAUCAAAGAUUUCAAAUUCUGCAGGUUCCAGAAGAAGGAGGAGAUGGGAAAGGAGUUUAUGCCAGAUAAAGUAAGACAGCAUCUUAAAUGAGCAAACUAAAGAGUAAAUGAGUUUGGAGGUGACAGCAGUUUCUCUGGCUGAAUGGGAAUGUAAAAUUGCAAGUGUUACAGCUGAAAAGCACCUUCGAGAGCAUUCUGGUCCAAUGAAACUUCAGUCAAGAGAAGCUUUCAAAAGUUGGUAACAGGGUUCCUGUAGGUGCCAUUAAACUGAACAGGACAAGAGCUCCAAUCCCUCAAAGGUGCAACUUUCCACUGGGACUUUGAUAAAUUGGGAGGAGAAGAGAAUCAAUGCAGGCUCCAGCAACACCAGGAUGCUUUCAGCCUGCAGCAAUUGACAAUUCCAUAUUUUAUUGAAUUGAAGCAAAAUUUCUUUCUCAUGCAUGUUACAUGUCAAUUGCAAGCCAGCAAAAGGACUCUGAUCAUCACAGCAGUUCAGCCCUACAGAUUGAGAGAGGCUCCAUCUCAAACCAUGCUCCACAGUGUCUGAGUCUCCUCCACAGCUUCUGACGAGAGACAGUCACAGCUUUUGGAACUUCAGAAGUGGGGCCACCUACAGUACCUCCAGACAGUGAAGGAGAACUGGGGACAAAGACAAGGCGCUCUGGGAGCUCAGAAGAAUUGACUAGCUCUACUGAUGAAGAGGAAAAGGAAUAGCGGUGGUUUAAGAUACACACCAGGUACAAGUUUGCUGGGAAAAGCAUAGAACUGCCUGUGUGAUGUGUGGCAGGCCUGGGAAGGGGCAAGUGUUCCUAAAGUGCUCUUCUGUGAGAGAUGCAUUUAUUUAUUCUCUCUCCUCUGUAACUCAGAAUCUGGGCUACACAUAUGAUGAUGAUGAUGAUGAUGACAAUGAUGAUGAUGAACAUAAUGGUAGGGGCUGGCCUGGUGGUGUAGUGUUUAAGUUUGCGUGCUCCACUUUGGUGGCCUGGAGUUCGCAAUUCCGAUCCUGGGCACAGACCUAGCACCACCAGUAGAUCCCACGCAGUAAUAGAGGAAGAUUGCCAUAGAUGUUAGCUCAGCCACAAUCUUCCUCAAGGAGAAAGAGGAAGAUUGGCAACAGGUGUUAGCUCAGGGCCAGUCUUCCUCACACACACACACACACACACACACACGCAAAAGAUAAUGAUGAUGAUGACAAUGAUGGUAAUGCUGAUUAUGAUAAUGAUGAUGAUGGUGAUGAUGAUGACAAUGAAGAUAAUGGUGAUGAUGACAAUGAUGAUGAUAAUGGUGAUGAUGAUGAUAGCAAACAUCUACAUGGCAUAAGACACUUAAUAUGGGUCACAUGUUACUUUGGUUUCAACAUAUAUCAACAUGUUUAAUUCUCACAACAUCCUUGGAGGAGAAACUAUGAUUAUCCCCAUUUUAUAGAUGAUGAAACUGAAUCAGAAAGGUUAAGUGACUUGCCCAAGUUUACGCAGUGAGUAAGUAGCAGAGCCUGGAUUUGAUCCUAGGCAGUCUAUCUCAGGCGUUUGCACUCUUAACCUCUAUAAUUAUAACAUGAAUGCUUGCUGUGGGCCAAGUUCUGCUCUAAGUCUUUACAUGUAUUCACUCCUUGGCCCCAUGGAACAAGAAACUUCUGAUGUACAUAUACUUCUUAAUAUCAUUUGACACAUAGGAAGCUGAGGAGCAGAGAAGUUAAAUAAUUUGUCCAAGCUCACACGGAAAUGAUUGUCAGAUCUGGGGUUUAAACCGAGGGAGUCAGACUCCAGAGCCAGCAAUCUCGGCUACUGUGCUUUACUAUCACAGGGUUUGUUCCUUUAUAACCUACUAGAUACAGAGCUCUCUACAGUGGGACCAGAAGGGUUUGAGUCUAGAUUUAACGAGGACGACACUGGCUCUCUAUAGUUCAGUGAGUAGCAAAGUGUGUGUAUAUCUGUGAUUAACACGUAAGUCUCAAUACAGUGCAAUUCCAGUGUUAUGUUCAAUUCCUCCUCACUAGGAAUUUGGUGAAACUUUUGUUUGAUAGGGUCAUGAAAGUUGUCUCUGUCCUGGUUCUGAUUAGAUGCUAUUCUGUGUCCCAUGAUGGACCACAUCCCGCAUUGACUUACAUAGGUUUGUUUGUUCAUUUAUUCAUGCAUUCAUUGAUCCACUCAAUAAAUAUUUGUUGAACCUGACUGAGUGCCAGGGAUUGUUGUAGAUACUGAGGAUAUGGAAUUGAGCAAAACAGUUAGCUGCGUCCCCUCUAGAGUCUACACUCUAAUGGAGAGAGUCAGAUAACAAACAAAUAAAUGAAUGAUAAGUGCUGGGGAGAAAAAUUAAGCAGGGGAGGGAGAGAGAAUGCCAAGAAGGAAGAGCAGUUGCUUGUUUAGAAGCAGGGAUAGAGUCCUGGAGAAGAUGAGAAAGUGACCCACGUGGGUACCUGUGAAAAAUGUUCUAGAUCUAAGAGAACAGCAAGUGCAAAGGCCCAGAGGUAGGAGCGUGUGUGACAAGUUUCUGGCGCAACAGGAGGCCAGUAUGGCUGGGGCAGAGCCAGCGAGGCAGAGAAUACUGGAACAGAGAGGAUAGUGGGGAAAUGAGGGUGGACAGACCAUCUAGGGCCUUGCAGGCCAUUGUGAGGCCUUUGGAUCACACUUUGAGUGAGAAAGGGCACCUCUGGAGGGCGUUGAGGAACCAAGUCACAAUCCGUGAGCCUCACUCAGGCUGCCAUGUGGAGCACAGGAAAACCAAAUGCUCACUAAGAGGGGGUGGUUGAAUAAAUUACAGCACAGUCAAACCACGGAUUAAGCCAUUACAAAGAUUGACUUAGAGCUUGCCGCUUGAUUUGGAGGGAAUUCCACGAGGAAAUGUCGAGUGAGAAAGCCAAAAUGCAGAAAGUAUUCGUUCCUGUGCCUUAUUUCCCUCUUCCUAAAGGGGAGUAUCUUUCCUUGGCAAAAAUGGAAAGAGCAAUCACCUACAGGAUUUUCCAUGAAGAGAUGACAGGUCUCCUGAAACUUCUGAACUUGGGAAAAGCACCUCAGUUCUGAAUUCAGACCUACAAGGACUGUGGCAUUCAUGAAAGGGGCAUCUGUACCAUUUAGAAAAUAUUGUUGAUGAGAUGACCACCCCCCUGGCGAACGAAAGGAGGUGAACUGGAAAUUCUUCACACUGGAAGAGAUAAAUUGCCCAUUUGGAAGGAACACCAAAAGAAAUAAAGCCCUAUCAUGAAAAACAAAAUAAAACAAAACAAAACAGAAAAUGACAAAUGUUGGCGAGAAUGUGCAGAAAUAGGAACACUUGCGCACUGCUGAUGAAAAUGUGAAGUGGCGCAGCCACCAUGGAAAGGAAUACGGAAGUUCCUCAAAAAAAUUUCACAUAUAAUUACCACAUGAUCCAGCAACUCACUCACUUCUAGGUAUAUAACCAAAAGAACUGAAAGUAGGGUCUCAAAGAGAUAUUUGUACACCCAUGUCCUUUGCAGCAUUAUUCACAAUAGACAAAAGGUGGAAGCAACCCAAGUGUCCAUCACCAGAUGAAGGGAUAAACAAAAUAUGGUAUAUACAUACAACGGAAUGUUAUCCAGCCUUAAGAGGGAAGGAAAUUUCGAUACAUGUUACACCGUGGAUGAAACUUGAAGACACUAUGCUAAGAGAAAUAAGCCAGAUACACAAAAGGACAAAUAUUAUAAGAUUCUACUUACAUGAGGUACCUACAGUAGUCAAAUUCACAGAGACAGAGGGUAGAAUGGUGGUUGUCAAGGGGCUGGGGGGAGGGGAGCGGCCAGUUAGUCUUUAAUGGGUGUGGAAUUUCAUUUUGGGAUGACGAAAACGUUCUGGAGAUGGAUGGUGGCGAUGGAUGCACAACAAUGUGAAUGUGGUUAAUGCCACUGAGCCACACACUUAAAAAUGGUUAAAAUGGUGAAUUUAAUGUCAUGUAUAUUUUUUGACAAUUCGAAGAAAAAUAAUAAGAAGACAGGAAGCCCUGUGUGACUGAAAAGACACCAGUCACAGUGGCUGGGAUCCCAUGAAGACCGUAUCAGGAGAACUCUCUUGAGUCCAUGGCUGCCCGUUCUUGGAACCCUGCAUAAAAUGGGACCGAGACUUUUGUGGUCCGCCUCUCACAGCGUCCAUUAGCUGACAGUGACCCUGGUGUUCCUUUUCCCAUUCUGGUCGCGCUAUCUGAGCAGAGAUGUGGAGGCUCCUAGGGGAGGAUGGGUGAUGGUGGCUGUCAAUCCCAGAGGCGAGAUAAUUCAAAUGGCCUUCCUGUGAAGCAUCACUUUCAGAGCAAACCUUGUGGAGCAGGAAAAUGCUAGAAACACACUGUGGCGGGAAAGAGGGACGAGGAGCUCAGAUGGGAGCAGAGGUAAUAAUCACACUGGAAUUUCCAAAGGAUGGCCAAGCCGCCACUUCAGUGCUGGUUGUAUUUAACAUUUCUUUUUAACUUCCUGCAUUCCUUCUUAAGCCUGUCUUUAGAUAAAGAUUUCUCUCCAAGGAGAAGAGAAAUUCACUUCACUUGCCCAAAAGCAGUAGGAUGUCACAAAAGCACCUUAGCGGUGGCUGUCUGCCAGACUGAUUUAAGACAGAAGUCUUCAGUUAGGAGAAACAUCUCCCAGGGUCCAUCCUCAUUUCCAUUUCAAGUACCUCAUUGGUGUGGGGCAUCCUGCUUUUCAUUCUCCUUUCUCCUUAACCAGCCCCUUGCACUGAGUUGCUCAAAAGGAGGGGAUGUUCUGCCUCAGUUGUAUGCGAGAGGCUGGUGACACCUGUCAGAGCAGACCAUACUCUCAAACUGGACAUCACCUGCCAAGGCAUAAAAUGCUUCCAAUGGAGAAGCAGCCGUCAGUCAGGGCGGUCAAUGGAAGAGAGGAGUUGGUGCUGAAGAUCCAGGACACUUUGGCCAAUGGGAAGAGAAGGGAGGAGUAGCAAAUCCAGAACUCUCAGUUCUAUUACCCCUGGGGAAGGUGUGACUGGAAAGAAGCUACUGCUUGACUUGGGACAAAGAUCUAACACUGGGCAAGGGUAGGUGGGAAACAUACUUGCAAGCAUAAUGGAGCACUUGUAGCUAGAGGUGUUCUGUUCCUUGACUGUGCAUGGUCUUGCAGCCUUAACUCUGCCCGGACCGUGAGGAUGAGCUGUAGGGCUUGUGACUAUCCUCCUGGCCUGGCUCCCUGGUAUUCCUGACCUGCAAACAUGAAGCUGAGGUCAGAGCUUACUCUCCGCAGGAGAUCCUGGUUCUAUCUGUCUUGCUCACUAAUAUCCCUCUCUUGCCACCAUCAAUUCCUUAGUCAUGAGCCAGAUCACCUGGGUUCAAAUCCCACAUCCCUGGGCCUGAUGGCUGACCAAGGGGCAACUCUUUGGGAGUAAAGAGAGCCUGGGUGUGCCCUGAAGCGCUCACACUGCUGGGCAGAGGUGGGCCACUCCAUCAUCUGGGAGCCGACUGAAGUCUGUCUGCAGUUUCUUUCUCUGGUUGGUUUCGUUAAUUCAUCCCACAUGUUCUUUGCUGGCUAGUGAGAGAAAGCUCCAGUGUCAGAUUGCGCCUGAGACCGAGUCAGAGCGGCUUCCCCUGACAUUUCCGUGAUCCCAGGCAGAUGCAUUCCCAGGGCAGGGCAGCAUGACCACUGGUCCGUGGAAAGUCUGUGUCAGAGUGAAGCACACGUGUGGGCUGAGGGGCUCAGCGGGCCCCUCUCGAAGGGCACUCUGGCUGUUAAACUUUCCAGCGUUUGAGGUGGGAACAGCCCAGCCUGGUCUGCCACGUGGGGCAGCCCGGGCCUUCACUCCUGGUUGCCAUUUUGCAGUUUGCAGUGGGUAUAGAUUUUUCUUACAAGACUUAUUAAGUGUGAGUGCAGCCUUACACACACGACUGCCUGCUCUCUGCUUUGCUCACAUAGUCUUACAAAGUGGAUCAGUAAUAUCCUCACCCUCAUUGUAGCAAUGAGGGAAGUGAAAUUCACAAAAGUCAAGUACCUUGGUUAGAAUCACCCAGCAAGGAAGCCACGAAGCCCUGAGCUUGAACUGGCUGCGGAGAGUGUGCACUUUUCUCCAAUUGCAGAGAUAAGGGUGAUUCCGCAGAGCCACCCCCCAAGCCCCCGAGACAGCGUGGUAGGGAAGGGGCAACAUGACCCGGGGACAGUGCCCUGCGUUGGUUCUAAUGCCUUCUCUUAGUCAAUCCCCUUUCUCAUCGGGAAGACACAGAGCUUGGAGAAUCCUAAGGCCCCUUUUAACAUUAAUACUCUCCGCUACUCUGAUCCUAUUUUUUUUUUUUUGCUUGCUUACAUUCUCUCCAAGGUACAGCCAUUUCUGUUUUGUAUUUCCUUAGCAGAUUUUAACUAUCAAGGGGCAUUUGUAUCCCUCCUAGCGUCAGGCCUGGGCAGGGCUGCCCUCAUGAUCAGGUGAACAAAUGUGGUAGCGUGAAGUAUCCAGGAUGGCAGUAUAGGAUCUCUGCCCUGGCUCUUGCCUCUGCUGUGCCUGAGGCAUGCCUGUCCUUACCUGACCAUACACCAAGCUCCUAUGGAAACUUCAAAGCCCAAUGCAGUUGUCACCACCACCAAGAAGCCUUCCUUACCAUAACCCUAUGCUCUGGCCACCCCUAAAUUAAACUCCUCACCCUGCUACUGUGGUUUAUACCUUCUUUUGUAGCCAUGAUGUUUUGGGCUCUUUGCUUGUUUACACAUCUGUCUUCUCUACAGAUGUGUGGGUCUCCUGAGUGUGGGUGCUAGGUCUUUAUCACCUUUGAUUUAACAGAUAGAGGAAGCGCAAUCAGGAUUUGUGGAAGGAGGGAAGAAAGCAAGGAAGUGACUAAAAUGAGUUGGCUCUUUUCUGAAGAUACCAACUUAUAAGAAAUCUUCAAAGUGCAUGUGCCAAUCAGUAGGAUGGCAUCUCUGUUGAUGAGGUUUUGCUGGGCUAGACAGUGGGUCAGCCUCCCUCCUCCUACCAUACACGCACACACACACACACUCAGCAACGGCUUCACCUUUGAGUAACACAAUCAAUUUUAAUAGGCCUCAUGUCUCUUUCCUUUAAAACUUAGAGAAUUUAACGAAUUCUCCUUUAAUUUCUCUUUAGUGAAAUUCAUGAGUGACAUUUAAAUUAUUCAG
This 8870-nucleotide long non-coding RNA is filed under the name Equus caballus (horse). RNAcentral describes it as "lncRNA (ENSECAG00000033772.3)". The record is from RNAcentral. Lineage: Eukaryota; Metazoa; Chordata; Mammalia; Perissodactyla; Equidae.